This 428-nucleotide unclassified non-coding RNA is filed under the name Hevea brasiliensis (rubber tree). Lineage: Eukaryota; Viridiplantae; Streptophyta; Magnoliopsida; Malpighiales; Euphorbiaceae. The record is from RNAcentral.
GGACUCUCAAAGGACCAUGCAAAACUCUCAUCCCACUCUGGAUUAGGACCAGUGGAUACAACCUUUGUUUGCCUCGGUGGAGUAUUGCCAAGGGUGAGCUUGCAAAAUACGCUGGGGUUUCCUACUGACUGCUUCAUAUUGUUGCCACGUUUGAUUAUAACUAAUAAUGUUCCUGGCAAACACUGUAACAAAAACUCGGCCUUCUCCUGAAAACGAGGAGGGCCUGACUGAAUUAAAUACUGAAGCAAAGGGAUGGCAUCUGCAGCAGCAACAGACUGAGCUCUUGAAACCUCAGCUGGACAAGCCGACCAGGCUUGCCUCAAAAGAAAUAGGGCAUCUAACGCAGCUUCUUGAGUUGCCUCAGUACCAGUCUUCAGGGAUGUUACUAAAUGAGGAAUGCUGAGUGUAGCAGGCUCGGUAGCUCUCAA